Molecule: transfer RNA, 76 nt
Filed under: Candidatus Saccharimonadota bacterium
Lineage: Bacteria; Candidatus Saccharimonadota
Description: tRNA-Gly
Rfam family: tRNA
About the family: Transfer RNA (tRNA) molecules are approximately 80 nucleotides in length. Their secondary structure includes four short double-helical elements and three loops (D, anti-codon, and T loops). Further hydrogen bonds mediate the characteristic L-shaped molecular structure. tRNAs have two regions of fundamental functional importance: the anti-codon, which is responsible for specific mRNA codon recognition, and the 3' end, to which the tRNAs corresponding amino acid is attached (by aminoacyl-tRNA synthetases). tRNAs cope with the degeneracy of the genetic code in two manners: having more than one tRNA (with a specific anti-codon) for a particular amino acid; and 'wobble' base-pairing, i.e. permitting non-standard base-pairing at the 3rd anti-codon position.
Source: RNAcentral
GCGGGUGUAGCUCAGUUGUUAGAGCGUUUGCUUCCCAAGCAAAAGGCCCAGGGUUAGAGUCCCUGUACCCGCACCA